GACGAACGCUGGCGGCGUGCUUAACACAUGCAAGUCUGGGGGCGGGGCAACCCGUCACCGGCGAACGGGUGCGGAACACGUGAGCGACCUGCCCUGUGUGUGGGGGAUAGCCGGCCCAACGGCCGGGUAAUACCGCAUACGUCCCGCGCUUGGAGGCGCUGGGAGAAAGCCCGGAAGGGCGCACGAGGAGGGGCUCGCGGCCUAUCAGCUAGUUGGGGGGGUAACGGCCCACCAAGGCGACGACGGGUAGCUGGUCUGAGAGGAUGGCCAGCCACAUUGGGACUGAGAGACGGCCCAGACUCCUACGGGAGGCAGCAGUGGGGAAUCUUGCGCAAUGGGCGAAAGCCUGACGCAGCGACGCCGCGUGGAGGAUGAGGCCCUUCGGGGUGUAAACUCCUGUUGCUCGGGACGAACGGCGGGCAUCGGCCCGCUUGACGGUACCGGGUGAGGAAGCACCGGCUAACUCUGUG
RNAcentral lists this ribosomal RNA (470 nucleotides) under uncultured bacterium. RNAcentral's name for it is "partial 16S ribosomal RNA". It matches the Rfam family "Bacterial small subunit ribosomal RNA", at positions 28 to 507 of the family's 1533-position model. The record is from RNAcentral.